Cavia porcellus (domestic guinea pig) is the source of this 63-nucleotide transfer RNA. It matches the Rfam family "tRNA", at positions 5 to 66 of the family's 71-position model. Rfam says of the family: Transfer RNA (tRNA) molecules are approximately 80 nucleotides in length. The record is from Rfam. NCBI's taxonomy places the organism in Eukaryota, Metazoa, Chordata, Mammalia, Rodentia, Caviidae.
GUGUAGGUCAGUGGUACAGCUCUUGUCUAAAAUACAGGAGGCUCUGGGUUUAAUUCCCAGCAC